RNAcentral lists this long non-coding RNA (1299 nucleotides) under Glycine max (soybean). Its description in RNAcentral is "long non-coding RNA (GMAX_LNC001644)". Lineage: Eukaryota; Viridiplantae; Streptophyta; Magnoliopsida; Fabales; Fabaceae. The record is from RNAcentral.
GCAUUUGUAUGUUGCCUCACCUUCAGAACUUCACUUAUUCCUUUAACUUCUUCACCGGUGAGCCUCCCGCAUGUCUCGCAUUGCCGGCGUUUGAUGACAGGGUAAACUGCUUACCGGCGAGGCCUCUGCAGAGGCCUCCGGCGCAAUGUAAGUCGUUCUUGUCUAAACCUGUGGACUGUAACUCCUUUAAGUGUAAACAUUUUGUUCCUUCACCUCCAUCACCUUCACCAUUUCCUUCACCUACAGCACCGGUAACACCUUCUCCAUCACCUUCUACGCCUUCACCAUUUCCUUCACCUACAACACCGGUAACACCACCUUCACCCUCACAUUCCCCUCCAUCACCUUCUACGCCUUCACCUACAACACCGGUUACACCUUCUCCCUCACAUUCACCUCCAUCACCUGCUACACCUUCACCAUUUCCUUCACCUACAACACCGGUAACACCUUCACCCUCACAUUCCCCUCCAUCACCUGCUACACCUUCACCAUUUCCUUCACCUACAACACCGGUAACACCUUCACCCUCACAUUCCCCUCCGUCACCUGCUACACCUACAACACCGGUAACACCUUCACCUUCACAUUCCCCUCCGUCACCUGCUACACCUUCACCAUUUCCUUCACCUACAACACCGGUAACACCUUCACCUUCACAUUCCCCUCCGUCACCUGCUACACCUUCACCAUUUCCUUCACCUACAACUCCUGUAACACCUUCACCUCCAUCGCCUUCUACUCCUUCACCCUUUCCUUCACCUACGACACCUGUGACACCUUCACCUGUUCAUAGUCCUCCUUCUCCAGUGUAUUUGCCACCGCCACAUUCUUCCCCUACACCACCUGCUCAUAAUUACGGCUCUCCGCCACCCCAUCACUCACCCGCUCAACCUGUUUAUCCUUAUUUAUCACCGCCACCUCCUCCCUCUGUCCAUUCUUCACCUCCACCACCACCACCACCACCUUGUAUAGAACUUCCUCCACCCCCUCCCCAAUCUACACCUUCUCCCACACCUUACCUGCCACCACCAUCCCCAUCUCCUCCCCCGCCACCGCCACCGGUAUACCAUUCUCCACCGCCGGCAUCACCGCCUCCGUGCGAAACUCCACCUUCAGUUUCUCCGCCUCCACCACCUGCCCCAGUAUACGAAGGGCCAUUACCACCUAUCGUUGGACUCCCAUACGCGUCGCCUCCACCACCACCCUUUUAUUGAUUCUUUUGACCGACACGCUUUUAUUAUUAAUUGCGUCCCUUUCUUCUCUAAUACCCUCCUCCGAUGGAAGGAAUGUUACGCG